This is a long non-coding RNA of Oncorhynchus nerka (sockeye salmon), 857 nucleotides long. RefSeq lists it as uncharacterized. The transcript has 3 exons. NCBI's taxonomy places the organism in Eukaryota, Metazoa, Chordata, Actinopteri, Salmoniformes, Salmonidae. The record is from RefSeq and is a predicted model, not a curated record.
UGAGAUUCUUCAAAGUAUACUAUUCUCUGUGAUACAGGCGAUUGAGCAGCCAUUGCGAACCAACAAGAUCACUCGGCAGAUCUAUAAACAUUCCGUCUUCAUCAAGGCCAUGCCCGGAAUCGUCAUUGGCGGAAUCCAGCCCUUCGGCUGCAUCUUUAUCCAGCUCUUCUUCAUCAACAGCAUCUGAUGUACUACAUGUUUGGGUUCCUGUUCCUGGUGUUCAUCAUUUUUCUCAUCACCUGCUCCAAGGCCGUCAUCCUGUUGUGCUACUUCCUCUCAUGUGCAGAGGUGGGUGGAGCCAUGCAUACAUGGAUCUGGCAUCACAAUAAUGGACUCACUGGUGGUGGCAUUCCUUCCUGAUCAGGCUAUUCAUGGCAGUCAACCUGUUUGUUUACGACUUGCACUACUUCUCCAAGCUGCAGAUCAUCACCACUACCAUCCUCUACUUUACCAUGAUCAUGGUGCUAAUUUUCUUCCUCUUCACAAGGGAGUCAACAACAGUGCCACACUACGCAAGUCUAGACUCUCUAACAGGUUUAAGUAGAGGCGCUCAGACACAUUUCAUCUUAACGAACAGUGCUGGAGCUUUUGGCAGACUUUGGCAGAUUCAUCGGCUGUUUCCAGCCACUCAUCUCAAUAGGAAUUUUAUCCGCCUUUAAGAAAUGGAAAUGUGUGGUGCUGUAAUAGCGAGCUGAGACAGUUGAAAAUAUCGAUGGGAUAUUUUGGUUGUCUGUGUGCUCCUGAAGUGCUGUGGUAUCUCACUGUUAAAAUCAUCCUAGAGUGGAGAUGAAACAAUAAAAAAAAUUAUCUGACACGGCGGUUGCAUUAAGGAGAAGUCUAUCUUUAAUUAUUAUGAG